Molecule: ribosomal RNA, 568 nt
Filed under: Wickerhamomyces sp.
Lineage: Eukaryota; Fungi; Ascomycota; Saccharomycetes; Phaffomycetales; Wickerhamomycetaceae
Description: partial large subunit ribosomal RNA
Rfam family: Eukaryotic large subunit ribosomal RNA
Source: RNAcentral
AAACCAACAGGGAUUGCCUCAGUAACGGCGAGUGAAGCGGCAAAAGCUCAAAUUUGAAAUCUAGCACCCUUGGUGCUCGAGUUGUAAUUUGAAGAUUGUACUCUGUUGCUGGCUCCUAUCUAUGUUCCUUGGAACAGGACGUCAUAGAGGGUGAGAAUCCCGUGUGAUGGGGUGCCCAGCAGCAUGUAGAGUGCUCUCGAAGAGUCGAGUUGUUUGGGAAUGCAGCUCUAAGUGGGUGGUAAAUUCCAUCUAAAGCUAAAUAUUGGCGAGAGACCGAUAGCGAACAAGUACAGUGAUGGAAAGAUGAAAAGAACUUUGAAAAGAGAGUGAAAAAGUACGUGAAAUUGUUGAAAGGGAAGGUUAUUAGAUCAGACUUGGCGUUGUGCUAUAUUCGCUCCCUCGUGGGGCGUUCACUAGCGCUGCGCUGGGCCAGCAUCGAUUUGCGCGGCGGGACAAUGGCUGUUGAACGUGGCUGCCUCGGCAGUGUUAUAGCUUCAGCUGAUGCCGCCUGCGCAGAUCGAGGAGUGCGUCUUCGGACUAGGAUGCUGGCGUAAUGAUCUAAUAUCGC